CGGUCUACACGGAGUACGUUUCGUAGUACCUCGGCGUCAGGGACGAACGGCUGGCGGCGUAGCUUAACACAUGCAAGUCGAACGCUGAAGCUCAGCGUUUUGUUGGGUGGAGUGAGUGGCGAACGGGUGAGUAACACGUGAGUAACCUGCCCUCUUCUUUGGGAUAACGCCCGGAAACGGGUGCUAAUACUGGAUAUUCACUGAUCUUCGCAUGGGGGUUGGUGGAAAGGUUUGUUCUGGUGGGGGAUGGGCUCGCGGCCUAUCAGCUUGUUGGUGGGGUGAUGGCCUACCAAGGCUUUGACGGGUAGCCGGCCUGAGAGGGUGACCGGUCACAUUGGGACUGAGAUACGGCCCAGACUCCUACGGGAGGCAGCAGCGGGGAAUAUUGCACAAUGGGCGAAAGCCUGAUGCAGCGACGCCGCGUGAGGGAUGGAGGCCUUCGGGUUGUAAACCUCUUUCGCUCAUGGUCAAGCCGCGACGUGGGUUGUGGUGAGGGUAGUGGGUAAAGAAGCGCCGGCUAACUACGUG
RNAcentral lists this ribosomal RNA (528 nucleotides) under uncultured Actinomyces sp. Its description in RNAcentral is "bacterial SSU rRNA". It matches the Rfam family "Bacterial small subunit ribosomal RNA", at positions 35 to 507 of the family's 1533-position model. Lineage: Bacteria; Bacillati; Actinomycetota; Actinomycetes; Actinomycetales; Actinomycetaceae. The record is from RNAcentral.